UCCGGCAGGCAGAGGAGCUCCGCGAAGACAAAGCCGGCCUGUGUGAGCGGCCACCAGCGGCCAGGCAGCCCUCAGCCUGGUGUCCCCGAGCAAGCCCACCAGCCAGGUCCCGGGCCCUGACUGCUGGCUACUGUAUCCCCGCCUCCCCGGGACGGCGUACCUGAGGCCCCGCCAAGCUGCCCUUCCUGCUGGCCGUCCCUGCUCUGCCCCGCUGCCCUGUCGGGGGGCCUCUGGAUCUUCUCCUGGACCACAGAGAAGGAGCCCGGGCCCAGAGAAGGCCAGCAAGAGUCCAGGGCCACACAGCAGAUCUUCAGGGAGCUCUGAGCAGAGGGGUCCAGCCCAAGGUCUCACCAGACCCAGGCCCAGCUGGAGGAGGAGAUCCCUGGUGAGCCUGGCUCAUGGGGCCUCAGACCUGCCAGGACCAUCGCACCACCUUGCCUGCUGACAGAGCCUCAAACCAGGCCCCUCCGCCCACCUGCCAAGAGCCUUGAGCAGGUCGUGGCCCCUCACCCGGUCCUCUUCGCUUCCUCCCUUGUGAAACGGGGCUGUCUCUGCCUGCCUCACAGGCUGCCACAAAGGAGAAAUAGGAGUGCAUUUGGAAUCAUCUGGUAUACAGCAGGUGCUCAAUAGGCAUGGAUGCCUUUCUGCCCUUUUCCUGCCCUCCUGAGGGAGUGGCCACCCUGGCCUUGUCCCCGAGGCCCUGCCCCCAGCUUUCUUCCUUGUCUCUUGCCUUAGAGGCAGGCCCUCCCCGGCUCUUCUCCCCCCUCAGAGACCAGCAGGACCCACCGUAGGCGCAGAGGUCAAGGCCGCUGGCGCCCGGGGCGCGGCCGGCACGCACUCAGCGCACCUCUACUAAGCACCCAGGAUGUGGUAAGCACCGCGCCAGGUGCUCCACACAGAUCCUCAUGGAAGUCUCAGACAUUGCAGUCCCAGCUCGCGGGAGAGACUACAGCUCAGAGACGCGCAGUGACCAGGGCAGGCACACACAGGAAGAGUGACAGAGGGGCUAGUCCAGCCAGGCCCACAGCGUUUCCGGGGCGCCCUGAGCCCUGGCUUAGGAGCCCACGGGGUCACCCUCACUCCUGGGAGCCUCAUCACUCGGCUGAAAGCAGCAGGCACUAUUUCUUGGGCAUUUGCUCUGCCAGGCACCGACCGGGUUCUUGGCACAACUCCGCUUGGGGACCUCCCAACAGCCUGUGGUGAGUGUCAUCCCCAAGGCUUUUAGUUUGAAAAAUGGCAAAGAGUCAACUCCGUGCCGGGGAAGCGGUGUCAGGUGAAUGAGCAGUGGCCCAGCGCGGCCCUCUCUGGGACACGGCGUGGGGUCGGUUGCCCCACACACCCCUGGAGAUGAUUCGCGGCAUCUGAAUUGGAAGCAAUAUUUCUUUCUCCUGAUUGCUUUUCUGUACAGAACAUCCUAGUAUAUCAUCAUGAGAACAAAAAAGCAAACCUGUUAGAGAGAAAAUAAUUUGAAAACUGUUGCGGGGGGUGGAGGGAUAUGGCUACUCAUUCCUGGGGACUCGACAGUGAGUGAGUGCUGUGAGGCCUGGAUGGGGGUGGGAGGGGUGUGCUGCCCUCACUCAGUUCUCAGUCCUGUAGGCCAAGGUGGUGGCAUUCAUCCGGGUCCCCCCAUGCCAGCCUUGGAGGCAGUCCCAGGCCUGAGGGUCGAAGGGAGGAAGUGGUGUCAUCAGCCCCCAGGGGGUCAGAGGGACCCAGGAAAUGCUGGCCCACGAUCGGGGCUCUGGGAUCCUGGCAGAGCCAAGCUGCUGCCUGCGUGCCUCCUUCUCCCCACUCCCCAAUCCUCUGCCAGCACCCAAAUCUAAGCAGGGAGACUCUGGCUCAAGAAGUUGAAAGCUCUUGUGUCCAGGAGCAGUUUGCCCAGUCUGCUGAGCCCGACGUGGUUUUGCUGCUAGUGUCUGGGCAUAAGCAGAUUUGGGGAGCCCUGGUGCCCCAAGUGCCUGCUAACCACUUCCUCUGGCGUCCCCAUGCGGGAAUGCUAACAAGACCAGAGUUACUCAUUACUCAACUUGGGACAUUUGUAUGUGUGUUCUUUGUGUCUUUAUUUUUUUUUUAAAGGAAAUGAUAUUUUUUUCUCAUUUAAAUGUAAAUAUAUUUCCUUUUUGCUUUUAAUAAGGUUAGAAUAGUAUCAUUAAGCACUGGGUGCCAUAAUGUCAGGUUUUAAACCAAGCUACCAGGACUUCCCCCUAAAAAUGUUCUGAAAUGAAUUGAUCUUAAUAAAGCAAUUUAACAUUAAAAGUCACCCAGGGCGCCCGGGUGGCUCAGUCGGUUAAGCAUCUGACUCCUGGUUUCAGCUCGGGUCUUGGUCUUGAGGUCGUGAGCCCUGUGUCGGGCUCUACACUCAGUGCAGAGUCCACUUGGGUUUCUCUCUCCCUCUCCCUCUGCCCCUCCAGCUCGUGCUCUUUCUCUCUCUCAAAUAAAUAAAUCUUUAAAAAAUAAUAAAAUUAAAUUAGAAGUCACCCAGACCACAGAAGGAGUCCAUGUGUAACAAGGACUUUUUUUUUUUUUUUUUUACGAGAGAGAGCGCAUGUGUGAGUGCAAGUAGAGGGGGUGGGGCGCGGGGAAGGGCAGAGAGAGAGAGAGAACCUCAAGCAGACUCCACACCCAGCUUGGCACCCCACGCAGGGCUUGAUCUCGCGACCUCAAGAUCAUGACCUGAGCCUAAAUCAAGAGUCAGACCCUUAACUGACUGAGCUACCCAGGCGCCCUGACAAGGACUUUAAUUAAAUAAUUCUGGGCCCCUAAACUGUACAGUAACCUCCUUUAUAGGGCUGAACUGUGACCCAGAGAAAGCCUGCACUCUCAUGGGAAGUCAGAAUCUAAGAAGCGGCCACAGAGCUGCUGGGCAAGACCACGUGUCACACCAUGGGAGGUUCUGGGACAGAUGGGUGCUGGUAUUUUCCUUAUGGGGCACAGACCAUGGGCUUCCUGGAACAACGUGUCUGCUCCCCUGUUAGCUUCUCUUUGCUUUGUGGUUGUUUCUUAAAACACACUGCUUGAUUUCCUCUUGGGGACCUUCUGGUGGGAGAUAAAAAAAAAAAAAAAAAAAAAAAAAAAAAAAAAAAAAAAAACCCAGAGAGUUCUGAGUUGGCCCGAGACAUUGGUCAUUCAGCGAACCUUGCCCCUCUCCCCCUGAGUGGAGAAGCCCACCUUAGGGACUUUUACCCUUGGACCACACACACCCACUCAGGGCGUGGAAAUGCCUCACACUGUCUGUGAGCUUCUCCCCCUGCCUCACGGGCUCAUGACAGACGUGGGCUCUUGGGCCCCAGUUUCAAGAGGCCGCAUCUCAGAGCUUCCUGGUCCCUUCCAAAGGCACCCACCUUCCCUCUCUCCAUUCGUAAGACUUUUGUGGGCCUGCCCUCUUCCUGAUGUAGGGACAACUGAACACUUCCUGUCUUAUCUCUCUCCGCAAGAACCGUCUGGCCUGGGGUACCUCCUCUCUCUCGCCCCAAAGGUGUGCUCUGGCAUCUAGGAGGCCCCCACCACCCCGUUUUUUGCCAGUGGAAGUCCUUUCCCGCUUACUUCUGUGCGGUAGGUGGGCAAGUAGCAGGGUCCGUGCAGGUGAGGUGCUGGGGUUUCCCGCACUAAUGCCAGCGAAGACCUGAUACCCAGCUGGGGGGAUGCCCUGGGGAUGCUGCUCCAGGGAGAGAGGGCCCUUCCCCAACCUCUUCCUCCCUGGCUCGUCCUGGGUUCUUGGUCACGGGUGCUGGAGGAGACGUGGCUGCCAGCCCAGUGCACUUGGCUUAGAGGCCUCAAGGGAAAAAGGGUUUUAUAGCCCACAGAUGCUAGUGUCUACCCAGGCGCAAGAUGGUUUUAGAAGGGGAAAGGGCUCGUUCUUGGCAUCCUCCUUACUCUCCUGCAGAGCCUCGGGACCCCCUGCCUCCUAUUCCCUGCUCCACUGAGCUCACUCCCUGAGGCCAUACCGCCCACCUCAGGCAGCCAUCUUCCCUCCUCCCGGCCACGUCUCUUGCUCAGCCACCGAAUUCUACAGGACUUCAUCCUCCUGGGGGCAUCAAAGGCCCCCCCCCAACCAGCCCCAUGACCUCCUGGACCUCUUCAUCCCUUCCCACCCUGCGCCACCACCACACCUGGGACUUGGUCAUUCCCCCAAGGUAAUGAACCCCAGCGUCCAUCCUCUGACCACAGCCUCCUGGCCUCCUGACCUCCCAGCCUCCCAGCACCCACUGCCUCCCUGCUGUCCUGUCUCUU
Ailuropoda melanoleuca (giant panda) is the source of this 4227-nucleotide long non-coding RNA. RefSeq lists it as uncharacterized. NCBI's taxonomy places the organism in Eukaryota, Metazoa, Chordata, Mammalia, Carnivora, Ursidae. The transcript has 3 exons. The record is from RefSeq and is a predicted model, not a curated record.